Monodelphis domestica (gray short-tailed opossum) is the source of this 2059-nucleotide non-coding RNA. The record is from RefSeq and is a predicted model, not a curated record. NCBI's taxonomy places the organism in Eukaryota, Metazoa, Chordata, Mammalia, Didelphimorphia, Didelphidae.
UCAUGUGACUCCUGGCCCAGCACUCUCCACUAUGGCACCACCAGCAACCUCUGUAAAUAUUGCAUGGAAGUGUGGAAGAGAGAGAAAUACUGAAGGAAAUACAAGGACUGGAUUUGCAGUGUUAUCUCAUGCAAAAAGGAGAUAGAAUACUGGUGGCCAACAGAGGGUGGUAAUGGAAUCUCCAGCUAAGAAAAGCAGGGGAGCAGUUGGGGAUAGAUCUUUUUUACUUUUGAACUGAUGUAAUGAUAGAUUAACAGAGGGGGCCUCAAAAUGCUAGGAACAGGAAACCGCUGCUCAAGUGGGCUGAUUAAAGUGCAGCCACUGCCUCCUUCCCCACUAAGCUUAAUGGAGUCUAGACCUGACCAAGACUCUGGUCAGAUCCAACUCCAUUUUCUCUAGGAGAGCUCUGCCUGAGAGAAAAAACCGUAACAAAGUUCAUUUGGAAGAACAAAGGAUCAAGGAUAUCCAGGGAAAUAAUGAAAAAAAAUACAAAGGAAGUGGGCCUUGCAGUCCCAGAUCUCAGACUAUAUUAUAAAGCAGCGGUCAUCAAAACAAUUUGGUACUGGCUAAGAGACAGAAAGGAGGAUCAGUGGAAUAAACUCGGGGUAAGUGACCUAAGCAAGACAGUAUGGGACAAAACCAAAGAUCCCAGCUUUUGGGACAAAAAUCCACUAUUUCAUAAAAACUGCUGGGAAAAUUGGAGGACAGUGUGGGAAAGAUCAACACCUCACACCCUACACCAAGAUAAAUUCAAAAUGGGUGAAUGACUUGAACAUAAAAGAAGGAAACUAUAAGAAAAUUAGGCGAACACAGAAUAGUAUACAUGUCAGGCCUAUGGGAAGGAAGAGGCUUUAAAACCAAGCAAGACUUAGAGUCACAAAAUGCAAAAUAAAUAAUCUGGAACCAUCAAAUUAAAAAGUUUUUGUACAAACAAAACCAAUGUAACUAAAAUCAGAAGAGUAGCAACAAAUUGGGAAACAAUCUCCAUAAAAACCUCUGACAAAGAUUUAAUUACUCAAAUUUACAAAGAGCUAUAUCAAUUGUACAAAAAAUCAAGCCAUUCUCCAAUUGAUAAAUGGGCAAGGGACAUGAACAGUCAGUUCUCAGUCAAAGAAAUCAAAACUAUUAAUAAGCACAUGAAAAAUUGUUCUACAUCUCUUAUCAUCAGAGAGAUGCAAAUCAAAAUAACCCUGAGGUAUCACCUCACACCUAGCAGAUUGGCUAACAUGACAGCUAUGGAAAGUAAUGAAAGCUGGAGGGGAUGUGGCAAAGUGGGGACAUUAAUUCAUUGCUGGUGGAGUUGUGAAUUAAUCCAACCAUUCUGGAGAGCAAUUUGGAACGAUGCCCAAAGGGUGAUAAAAGACAGUCUGCCCUUUGAUCCAGCCAUAGCACUACUGGGUCUGUACCCCAUAGAGACAAUAAGUAAAAAGACUUGUUCAAGAAUAUUCAUAGCUGCACUCUUUGUGGUGGCCAAAAAUUGGAAAAUGAGGGGAUGCCCUUCAAUUGGGGAAUGGCUGAACAAAUUGUGGUAUAUGUUGGUGAUGGAAUACUAUUGUGCUAAAAGGAAUAAUAAAGUAGAGGAAUUCCAUGGAGACUGGAACAACCUCCAGGAAGUGAUGCAGAGCAAAAGGAGCAGAAACAGGAAAACAUUAUACACAGAGACUGAUACACUAUGGUACAAUCGAAGGUAAUGGACUUCUCCAUUAGUGUCAAUGCAAUGUCCCUGAACAAUCUGCAGGGAUCCAAAAAACACUAUCCACAAGCAGAGGAUAAACUAUGGGAGUAAAAACACCGAGGAAAAGCAACUGCUUGACUACAGGGGGGAAGGGGAUAGGACUGAGGAGAGACUCUAAAUGAAAACUCUAAUGCAAAUACCAACAACAUGGAAAUGGGUUCGAACCAAGAAUGCAUGUGAUACCCAGUGGCAUCAUGCGUCGGCUACGGGAGAGGUGGUGGGAAGGGGGUGUUGGGGAGGAAAAGAAAAUGAUCUUUGUUUCCAAUGAAUAAUGUUUGGAAAUGACCAAAUAAAAUAAUGUUUAAAGUGGAAAAAAAAUAUCUA